This is a long non-coding RNA of Pan troglodytes (chimpanzee), 7006 nucleotides long. RefSeq lists it as uncharacterized. NCBI's taxonomy places the organism in Eukaryota, Metazoa, Chordata, Mammalia, Primates, Hominidae. The transcript has 2 exons. The record is from RefSeq and is a predicted model, not a curated record.
AUCAGCCUCGGAGCUGGGUCCGCUCGCCGCGCGCUGGCUCGCGGCCCGGCCCCCGCCCUGCUGUCCGGCCUGCUCUUGGCGCGUCCCCAGGGACCGGGCCCGCGCCGCGCUCCAGGCCCAGCGGGGAGGAGGAGGGCUCGCUGCCAGCUGAGGCUGACCUCCGGGAUGCGAGCGGCCGGGAGAACGGGCGACGUGCCACCUGCCUUGGCCUCGCCGCUCCUUCCUCUCUCCCUCCCCGAGUCCCCUUCCCCGUGCCCCUCGGCCGCCGACCUGAACCGAAAGGGGCUUCCUGUGCUUUUGCAUACUCUUGUGCCCCUUUUUCUCAUUUCCUCAUCACUAACAGGCGGGGAAACUGAGGUUCCCCAGGCGAAGCGACUGACUUGCCCAGAACCACACUACUGGGGUGGGGGCAGCAAAUAGGCGCCUAAGAUGAAGCUUAGAGAAAAAUGAACAACUCUGCCGAUAGAAAAGUCGUCCCUACCAAGACCGACUCGAGCGAGUUGGGGCGGAGAGGUUCAGGGCAAUGCUUUCCUGUUUCCCAGACUUUCUUUAAGGUGGCUUUAAAAUAUCUACAUUUGCCAUGAAAGUGUAAGCAAGCUAACUCCCACCGGGAAAUAAUGCUAUUCCUAGUCUUGUGGCCCCCGGAAGACUUGGAGCCAAGGGAGGCAGGUCAGGGGGCUGAAAUCCCGGUGAGGGGUCGCAAGGCCCCGCAGUGGAUUCCAGGGUUUGGCGUUUGGAGGGGUGAGGGGCGACCCGCAGCGCGACUCGACGGCGCCCCCCAGGGGCCGCCCGACACGUUUCUGUCACCUUGGCUCCAGACUGAGCUUCUCCAUCCCUUUCUUUAUUAUACAAAUAGGCAGUAUACACAGUGAGCGCCCACUAAGCGCUGGGCUGGGGGGCUCCAACCCGGAACAGAAGCCGGCCACAACCCUCGCUCCCUGUCGUCGCGGCCGUUAUAGGCCGAAAGCAAAAUCCAAUCCCGGGCCAUUCUGGGCGGAUUGCCAGGACCUGGAUCGCAACGCUUGGGAAGACCCCCGCCCCGCCCAGCGAUAUCCGUGCCCUGAGUCCCAGUGACGGCCCCCUGGACAGCGGAGCCUGCUGCAGCGACGCGACGCGCUAGGUACACAAACAUAAACAUUGCGCCACCCGCCCGGGUGCCGAGUCAGGAACAUUCUGCGGUUUCCUCCCCUCCUGGGGGAGGGGAUUUCGCUGGCCACCCUGUGUCGUCGCUGUGUGAGCUGUAUCACCAGUGGCAACUUCUGCAUUUGCCUCGCUUAGCUUGUGUGUUUUCGCCUGCGCAAAUGUUCCGCCUGGAUUCUUCUAGAAAAGUUCAGGGCAUGGAGUGCUUUUUUUUAAAAGGGCGUUUUCUACCUUCAUUUGAACAUUGGUCGAGGACAGCAAAGAGGUCCUCAGAUAAGAGCAACGCCCUCCCUGUAUGGAGAGAUAGAAGAAAAAUUGUUUAUACUACUUAUUCAGCUGAGGAACUCAACAUAGUUUUUGCGUUGAAUCAUAGAAUGUUACAGCUGCUGACCUUUCACUGCAUACCGACUUGAUUUGUCCCAUUUUUUUUCUCACCAAGAGCAUUUAUUAUACCUUCCCCUACCGAAAUUUUUCAAAAAGAAAACUUUUUUAAGAGCUGGGCGCUGUGGCUCACACCUGUAAUCCCAGCACUUCGGGAGGCCGAGGGGGGGCGGAUCAUGAGGUCAGGAGAUCGAGACCAUCCUGGCCAACAUGGUGAAACCCUGUCUCUACUAAAAAUACAAAAAUUAGCUGGGCGUGGUGGUGGGCGCCUGUAAUCCCAGUUACUCGAGAGGCUGAGGCUGAACCCGGGAGGCAGAGGUUGCAGUGAGCCAAGAUCACACCACUGCACUCCAGCCUGGUGACAGAGCAAGACUCUGUCUCAAAAAAAAAAAAAAAAAAGAAAGAAAAGAAAGCUUUUUAAUGCCAUUAUCACAGUAGUAGUGGCACAGUCUGGCCCUAGAGCCAGGUGUCUGCUGGCCUCUCCUGCUUUUCUCUCUCCUCCCUUGCUGGAAAGAGUGCAGAGAGUAGACUUGAACCCUGUCAUUUUGCUCCUGGAUGGUCAGAGGUGAGCCUCGACCCCUACUGAGCCUCCAAGCCCACAUCUGUACAGUGCGUCUACACUGGCCCACUUUGUAGAUGGUUUGAGGCCCAAGUGAAAGAUGGGGGGUUUAGAGAACCCAGGCCCUACCUCACCCCUGCUCUUUAUGAUUCACUGUAUCUCUAGGGUUUCCCCUUCCCAGCAGAAUGGUUCUUUAUAUAUCAUCAUGCCCCUGUGCCUUUCAGAGACUUGCCUCAGAACCAGGGAGAAGGUCACUGCAAGCCAUCUGCUUAUGAGAGACAUCAGUGGACAGGGGCCCAACUCAGGGAGAGCUCCUCUUUAAGACCCACCAACACGCAGAGCUCGGGCCAGUGGGUCACCUGCCCGGAGACAAGUGGUAAACGUGUAGCCACCUAGGCCCCCAAUCCAGGCAGUGGAGAUGCUGCUUCUGACUGAGGAUGGCGCCAAAGAGAGCCCAGCAUAAUCUGGUCUCUGUAACCACAGAAGGAGCGAGGGACUGGCCUUGUGGGCCUGGCUGCCAGAGGGAGUGAAGCAGAUAAAUCAGUGGAUGUUGACUCAGGGGAGAGAAUUGGGCCUUUCUGACCUGGGCUGUUCCCAAUUCUACCUAGUCCUGCUUAGGAAUAAACCUGGAGACAGUGAGGAGUAGCGGAAAGAAGGGUUCAGGGUUCCACACUCCCCAAAAAGCUGGCCUGGAUUUUCUACCUUUAAUGUGUGGCCUUGAGUAAGUGCCCCCAUGGUGCUGAGCUCCACCCCCUCCUUCCCAUGAUGGAGAGAAGAAUAAUAACAUUCACCUCCAGGGACUCUGGGGAGACUCAGUGUAGCCAGGGUUGGCCCUAGCUCACAAUCCCUGUCCUAAUCCUGCUCUCAAAGGCGACUUUGGAUCUCUCUUGGGAUCACAGGAAAAGAAAAGAGUUGAGCUCCCGCUGAUGACAGUCAGAAAGAGGCCCCCGCUCACUGUCUGUCUGGUGACCUUGGGCAAGCAGCUUACCAUUUCUGAGCCUCUGUUUCCCCAUUUGUAAACUGGGAAUAACAUCCAUUUAGGACCAAGUAAAACAGUGUAUAAGAACCUGAUGUGGAUGACACCCAAAGAGGGUGCUCUGAAGAGAGGGAGCAGGGCCCCACAUUCAUGUUCCCUCUUUCAAAACCCACGGCCUUUUUCCUGUCUCCCCUGUGCUGUAUGGGGGUUCCUCCCCUCAAUAUCCUUCUAUAACUCCCCAUUUCUUAGCAAAUCCAAAACUCACUGCCACUGGGCCUCGGCCAUCUAUAUGGCUCAGCUUCCCACUCUCUUUGCUUUCUCUCUUGUGCUCCAGGAAAAUUCUGUGGGCCUGUGUUCCUAGAAUGUUCUUGUCCUCUCCCACAUCUUUGCUCACAUUCCUCCCCCUCCCCCUGCCAGACAGUGGCCCCUCUGGGCUCCCCCAUAGUCUUUCCAGGUGAAGACUCCUCUGGUUUCUCCAACUUCUCCCUCUCCUGCAUCUGGAGGACAUUGUCCGUAUAUUCCGAUUGUGUACAAGUCACCUAGAUCUUUGUCAUACUCUCCCCAGGUUCUAAGUUGGUCAGCUUGAGGGCAAGGGGUGUGUUUUUCUCAACAUUGCACUCCCCAGCCUACUACCUUUGAUGCAGUGCCUGGCACAUAGUAGGUUCACAAUUUGGGAAAUGGUAGAAUUGUUUCAAAGGGUACUGCUGAAAAGUGUCAGAAGAGAGGAGGGUGGUCACUGACGCUUAUUAGGCCUCACCUCUGGGCCAGGUGCAUUACAGGUAUCAUUCCAUGAAUCUAUCAGUGAUCCUGUGAGGUGCUUGUUGUCCCCAUUUUAUAGGCAAGGAAAGAGGCUCAGAGAGGAGACAUGCCAAAGGUCACAUGCCUAAGGUUACAAAGCUGGUAAUCAUCAGAAACAGAUCCAAACCCAGCGCCUGUCUGACUUGAGAGAGGGAGCUGGGCCUGGGUCUGUUGAGGCCUCCGCGUCUGCCAGCCUCAUGUCUGGCAGCACUGGCUGAAGCCUCUGCCUCCCAGCUUCCUGGAGUUCUUCUCGCUGGACGGAGUGGUCCCUGGUGUCAGCCCAGCAGGGAGCCUGGAGCCUUCUAAGACUCCCAGCUCAGGCCCUACUGCCGCUGCUGAAGAGACUCUGUAGCCACUCAGGCCUACCUUGAGGGACUGGCAAGGGGCUGACUUCACCCUCUACACCCAGGCAGUUGGGACAGAGCUAGCUGCCAUUGCACAAUCUUUACAAACAGAUCUCCAUGCUCAGACCUGGCAGGGCCCACAGAGCUGUGUCAUCCUGUCUAACCUCCUCAUUUGAGAGGCAAGAGCCCAGAGACGUUAGGCAAUCUGUCCAAAGUCACACAGUGUUCAGAACAUUCUAACUGUAGUCAGCAUUGUGUGAGCUGUGUGUCCAAACCCUUAACAGUGUUUAUCUUUGGAAGGUGGAGUUCCUCUCAUUUUCUUCCUUAUGACUCUGAAUGAUUUGAACUUUUUAAACUUAAAUGUGUAACUUUUGUAACGAAGAAUAAAAGAAGAUUAGAAGGCAAUCAUAUGUAGGUAACAGCAUUGUUGUUAAAACCAAGUUACAGAGUUAGACUGCCUGGAUUAGAAUCCCAGCUUGCUUACUCACCAGCUGUGUGUAUUUGGGCAAGUUACUUUACCUCUGUGAGACUCAGUUUUCUCAUCUUUAAAGCGGGAAUAAUAAUCAUAUCGAUCUUGUAGGGCUGAUAGGAAGGUUAUAUAAGACAGUGAUUGGCACACUAGAGCCUGUGAACCAAACCUAGCUCGCUCCCUCCUUCUGUACAAACCACAGACUAAGACUGGUUUUUAUAUUUUAAAUGGUUGGGGGAAAAAAAUCAAAAGAAGAAUCUCAUUUUAUGACAUGUGAAUGUCAUAUAAAAUUCAAACUUCAGUGUCCAUAAAUAAAGUUUUAUUGGAACACAGCCACACCCGUUCCUUUACAUGGUAUCUGUGGCUGCUGUCACACUACAAUGGGAGGUGUAUAUUGUGACAGAGACAGUAUGGCUCACAAAGCCUCAGAUAUUUACCCAAGUCCCUUUACAGGAAAAGUUUGCCAACCCCUGAUAGGAGCUCAUGGAUGAAAAGUACUGUAGAACAAUGCCUGACACCGAUUGGAGUCUCGCUCUAUCGCCCAGGCUGGAGUACAGUGGCGCGAUCUCAACUCACUGCAACCUCUGCCUCCAGGGUUCAAGCGAUUCUGCUACCUUAGCCUCCUGAGUAGCUGGGAUUACAGGCACCUGCCACCACGCCUGGCUAAUUUUUGUAUUUUUAGUAGAGACAGGGUUUCACCCUGUUGGUCAGGCUGGUCUCAAGCUCCUGACCUCAUGAUCUACCUGCCCUGGCCUCCCAAAGUGCUGGGAUUACAGGCGUGAGCCACUGCGACCGGCUUAUCAAUAAUCAUUUAUAUCUCUCCCACUAGCUUGGAAGCUAGGGCAUGAUUUCUUGUCUCUCUUGGUCCCCAGUACAGAUCUCAAAGCAAGGCUUGUUGGACAAAUAAAUGAAGAUGAGCCCAAGAGCCCAGGAGAGGGACCGGGAACAGCAGGGCCUCCGUGACUCACACAAGCUUCAUCCCUGAACCAAGGAUGCAGCCUGCCAACAAUGGCCCCAAGCCACACCCCGCCACAGGGGGAACUGAUGCUGCGGUGAGAAGUGACAGCUUUCUGUUGACUUUUUUUUUUUAAACAGAAUAUGAAUUGAGACAUAAUUUCAUUUUCAUAAUCAGAACCUAACACUUAGUAACUAAUGUUGGUGGAAGCAAAUGAGAUCACAGUUUGUCUGUUCCAAACUCAUCUCUGGGAAAAGGAGGAGGAAAAAUUACUGGCCGAAUCAUAGCUGAAGAUGCAGAAAUUGUCCAUCCCAAUUUUGCCUUUGUAAGUAAUGUGGGGGCAGUUCUUAUUAGUAAUUGCCAAUCUCUACUGACACACAGUAUUUUGCUAGGCGCUUUAUAUUCAUUUCCUGGUAUGAUCAUGACAUUAACCCUGUGAAAUGGGUACCCUUACUAUCUCCAUGUGAAGAAAUGAGGGAACUGAGGACCAGAGAGGUGAACUGACUUAUCCAAAGACACACAGUAAGGGCUGUGACUCUCCGCUUUCUAAGAUUUUUGUUCUUAUCUCUCCACAGCACAUAGCAGGCGUAGUAUGAAGGCGGCAUGCUGCACAAUUUCGCUGUUUGUUUCUUGGAAUAAUAAUUUAUAGGGGGCUGCUUCUAGAUUCCAAAGGAAAGAGAAAGGAAAUAUGCCCCAAACUCAGGCUUUCUGCCUGGCCCUGCCUGACUCACUGAGCUGCAUUGCACAAAUGAUUCAUUCACUGGCCUUGACCUCAGUGGGUUUGGCCACCCAUUGAGAGUGAAGUCACACCUCCAGCACUGCGAUGCAUUUAUUGAUCCACUCACCUAGCUUCAUGGCAGGCAAGAAACAGGCCUGUGUGAGCCUGCCCGGGAUCAGGGACAGGAGAGCAUACGAGUGUUUCUGGAUAUCCUCAAGCUGUAGCUGGGCUGCCCGAUUCUUCCCUAGGAGAUCCUCCGAGGGCCUGAAUUAGUUUGCUAGGGCUUCCGUAACAAAGCGCCACAGACUGAGCGGCUUAAAUAAAAAUGUCUCAUCUCAUGGUUCUGGAGGCUGGAAGUCUGAGAUCAAGGUGCUGGGGAUUAGGACUUGAACAUAUGUUUUUUGGGGGCACACUUCAACCCGCCGGAGGGCCUGUGCCCCAAAGAGAGCCUCCUUCUGUGUGCAGUGAAGGUGUGAGUUCUAAACAUGAGAAAAAAACACCCCUUGUUCUUGGAUAGGGUGACUCGAUACCACAAACAGGUCCAACUGGCCCAGGUAAAUAUAUUCGUUUAACAUGAUCGUCACCAAAAUAUUGAGGGUAGGUGUUUUUUUCUGGAGUUAAACAAGUUGAUUCUGGAGUUGAUAUGAAAUAAUAAACAAGCAAAAA